CACGGCGCACGGGUGCGUAACACGUGGGCAACCUGCCCUUGGAUGGGGAAUAACCGCGCGAAAGCGUGGCUAAUACCGCAUAACACUCCGGGAACCGUGGUUACCGGAAUCAAAGCCGUAAGGCGUCCGAGGAGGGGCCCGCGCCCGAUUAGGUAGUUGGUGAGGUAACGGCUCACCAAGCCAAUGAUCGGUAGCCGGUCUGAGAGGAUGGCCGGCCACACUGGAACUGAGACACGGUCCAGACUCCUACGGGAGGCAGCAGUGGGGAAUCUUGCGCAAUGGGCGAAAGCCUGACGCAGCGACGCCGCGUGGGGGAUGAAGCUUUUCGGAGUGUAAACCCCUUUCGACCGGGACGAAACGCCCGCAAGGGAAUUGACGGUACCGGUAGAAGAAGCCCCGGCUAACUACGUGCCAGCAGCCGCGGUAAGACGUAGGGGGCCAGCGUUGCUCGGAAUAACUGGGCGUAAAGGGUCUGUAGGCGGUGUGGCAAGUCGGGAGUGAAAUCUCUGGGCUUAACUCAGGGGCUGCUUCCGAAACUGCCGUGCUGGAGUGCGAGAGAGGUGAGUGGAAUUGCAGGUGUAGCGGUGAAAUGCGUAGAUAUCUGCAGGAACACCCGUGGCGAAGGCGGCUCACUGGAUCGCAAC
RNAcentral lists this ribosomal RNA (644 nucleotides) under uncultured bacterium. Its description in RNAcentral is "bacterial SSU rRNA". It matches the Rfam family "Bacterial small subunit ribosomal RNA", at positions 94 to 740 of the family's 1533-position model. The record is from RNAcentral.